UACGUAGGCAGCGAGCGUUGUUCGGAGUUACUGGGCGUAAAGAGUGCGUAGGCGGUUUCGUAAGUUUGGUGUGAAAUCUCCCGGCUUAACUGGGAGGGUGCGCCGAAAACUGCGGGGCUUGAGAGUGGGAGAGGUAAGCGGAAUUCCUGGUGUAGCGGUGAAAUGCGUAGAUAUCAGGAGGAACACCGGUGGCGAAGGCGGGUCUCUGGGCCGAUAUUGACGCUGAGGAGCGAAAGCGUGGGGAGCGAACAGG
This 253-nucleotide ribosomal RNA is filed under the name uncultured bacterium. RNAcentral's name for it is "partial 16S ribosomal RNA". It matches the Rfam family "Bacterial small subunit ribosomal RNA", at positions 524 to 776 of the family's 1533-position model. The record is from RNAcentral.